This is an RNA transcript of Lepidothrix coronata (blue-crowned manakin), 2363 nucleotides long. It is a transcript of the gene named solute carrier family 12 member 8, with no coding region annotated. The record is from RefSeq and is a predicted model, not a curated record. NCBI's taxonomy places the organism in Eukaryota, Metazoa, Chordata, Aves, Passeriformes, Pipridae. The transcript is spliced from 15 exons.
CCGGGGGCGGCGGCCGCGGGAAGGAGGGAGGGAGGGUCCGGGAGCCGCCAGUAAAGUGCAAUAAAACCAUGAAUCUUCUACAAUGGAGGAUCCCGCACUGCAGGAAUUUGACCGAGAGGAAUAGCUGACUUUCCACUUGGAUCAGCCUCGCCUGUGGUUGUUUUGGAGCUGUGCAUUGGGCAGGCGGAGACAACGCGAAGGAUAUGAUGUUCAGCCUGAAUGCUCCCCAAAGUGAGGGUUAUGUCCAAGAGCUCUUCCAUGAGGAAGCACAGCAGGUAUCUCAAACGGAGACCAAGCCCUGGUGGAAGAUCCAGCUGUUUGUAUGGGAGCCGGUGCUUUUUGGAACAUGGGAUGGCGUCUUCACCUCCUGCAUGAUCAACAUUUUUGGAGUGGUUCUUUUCCUGAGGACAGGAUGGCUCGUGGGAAACACUGGCAUUGUAAUGGGCAUGUUUCUGGUGUCCUUUGUCAUCCUGGUUGCCCUGGUGACAGUCUUGUCUGGAAUUGGAGUGUGUGAAAAGUGCAGCAUUGGAAGUGGAGGAGUCUACUCCAUGAUUUCUACUGUCCUUGGAGGUCAAAUAGCGGGGACCAUUGGCAUCCUUUACAUUUUUGGCCAGUGUGUUGCAGGUGCCAUGUACAUCACUGGCUUUGCAGAGUCCAUUGCAGAUGUCCUGAGCCUCAGCAACAUCUGGGCAGUGCGUGGGAUCUCCCUGGCUGUCCUGUUUGGCCUGCAGGGGAUCAACCUGGCUGGGGUGAAGUGGAUCAUCAGGCUCCAGCUCCUGCUGCUCUUCCUGCUGGCUGUUUCAACACUGGACUUUGUCAUUGGGUCCUUUACACACCUUGAUCCAGAGAACGGCUUCGUCGGCUACUCCGCAGAGCUGAUGUCCAACAACACACUGCCAGACUACAGCCAGGGGGAGUCCUUCUUCACUGUUUUUGGAGUGUUUUUCCCAGCUGCCACAGGUGUGAUGGUUGGGUUCGACAUGAGUAGAGAUCUCCGGAAUCCUCCCACCAACAUCCCUCUGGGGUCUUUGGCUGCUAUUGGCACCUCGUGGUUUCUGUACAUGGUCUUUGUUUUUUUGCUGGGAGCCAUUUGUACCCGUCAGUCACUGCGCUAUGACUUCAUGAUAGCAGAGAAGGUAUCCUUGGUGGGUUUUUUGUUUUUGCUAGGGCUGUACAUCUCAUCCCUGGCCUCCUGCAUGGGAGGGCUGUAUGGAGCACCGAGGAUCCUGCAGUGCAUUGCCCAGGAGAAUGUGAUCCCUAUGCUCACCUUCCUUGGACAUGGGAAAGGCCCCAACAAGACUCCAGUGGCUGCGAUUUUCUUAACAAGUUUCAUCACUAUGGCUUUUGUCUUCAUUGGGCAAGUAAAUGUUCUUGCUCCCAUAGUCACCAUCAACUACAUGUUGACAUAUACUGCUGUAGACUAUUGCUAUUUCUCUGUCUCCUUGAGCCACAAUAUUCAGCAGAAGCCUGACGAGACCCAGAUGGGAACUACUAGACCUGCUCACUCUUCCCAGCCUUUAAUUUUCAACAAGCCCUCAAGCCAUGCAGCAGAUGGAGUAACUCAAAGCAGAUCAAAUGGCACCUUGCUGGAGUUCAAAAAAGACAUGGACCAGAUUUUUAAACCAUUUUGUAGUGAGCCAGGUACUUGCAAAAAAGAAGGAGCUGAGAAUUUAACCCGAAAGGCCAAACAAAAGGCGAAGAAGCCAGCCAAGCAGACAUUACAAGACAGCUUUCUCCUGGAUCUCCAUCACGAUGCUGCCCCAGCUCAGUACAGCUGGGAUGAGACCACAGGGCCCCACAGCGAGAGCCAGCGGGACCUGGAUGAGCAGGGCUGUCAGAGUGAUGCAGAAACAUCUAUAAAGCAACAAAAUCCAGAGCUGGGAAUUCAGCAAAUACCAGAAGCCUUCUACUCCAGAUUUUUCAGUCACUGGGUGUCCUUUGCUGUUGCAGUUGUGUCCCUCAUCAUAACGUUUGUCAUUCAAUGGAUCUACACCCUGGUCAGCCUGGGUGCAGCGGUUAUUCUGUAUUUCUACAUUGGCAAAGUGAGCCCAGGACUUCCCCUUGCUCCAGCACUUCCUUGCCCCUGCAGGGAGCCAGCGCAGGAAACUAACUCUACAGAGAAACUAAAAAGAAAGAAAAAAAAGUGUUGGUGUAAUAUGCUAAGCCAGCUCUCUGUGGGGUCAGACGAGGGAAUGAAUGGUGAGACCACAGCUGCCCUGGCUGAGGUUGGCUGAAUGGUUUCUCCAGUCUCCCCAUCCCUUGAGUGGUCCAUGGAGGAAAAGGAGCAGCAGCAAAUUUCAGUUUCUUUGGCUGGAUUAAGUCGGUUUUGAUCACUUUGUGCAGGAGAAGGCCAUCUCCCAAGG